RNAcentral lists this small nuclear RNA (36 nucleotides) under Cervus elaphus hippelaphus. The record is from RNAcentral. Lineage: Eukaryota; Metazoa; Chordata; Mammalia; Artiodactyla; Cervidae.
CACUUCUCGGCCUUUUGGCUAAGACCAAAUGUCGUA